GGUGAAGAACGUAGCGAAAUGCGAUAAGUAGUGUGAAUUGCAGAAUUCAGUGAAUCAUCGAAUCUUUGAACGCACAUUGCGCCCCUUGGUAUUCCAUGGGGCAUGCCUGUUCGAGCGUCAUUUGUACCUUCAAGCUCUGCUUGGUGUUGGGUGUUUGUCUCGCCUCUGCGUGUAGACUCGCCUCAAAACAAUUGGCAGCCGGCGUAUUGAUUUCGGAGCGCAGUACAUCUCGCGCUUUGCACUCAUAACGACGACGUCCAAAAGUACAUUUUUACACUCUUGACCUCGGAUCAGGUAGGGAUACCCGCUGAACUUAAGCAUAUCAAUAAGCGGAGGA
This 337-nucleotide unclassified non-coding RNA is filed under the name soil metagenome. RNAcentral describes it as "partial contains 5.8S ribosomal RNA, internal transcribed spacer 2, and large subunit ribosomal RNA". The stretch from base 3 to 120 matches the Rfam family "5.8S ribosomal RNA", at positions 37 to 154 of the family's 154-position model. The record is from RNAcentral.